RNAcentral lists this ribosomal RNA (512 nucleotides) under uncultured bacterium. RNAcentral describes it as "bacterial SSU rRNA". It matches the Rfam family "Bacterial small subunit ribosomal RNA", at positions 8 to 526 of the family's 1533-position model. The record is from RNAcentral.
AGAGUUUGAUCAUGGCUCAGGAUGAACGCUGGCGGCGUGCUUAAUACAUGCAAGUCGAGCGAGGACCACCCGGUGGCAACACCGGGUGACUCCUAGCGGCGAACGGGUGAGUAACACGUGGGCAACCUGCCCCCGACUCUGGGAUAAGCCCGGGAAACUGGGUCUAAUACCGGAUACGAGCCUCCACCGCAUGGCGGAGGUUGGAAAGGGUCUCCGGUCGGGGAUGGGCCCGCGGCCUAUCAGCUUGUUGGUGGGGUAACGGCCCACCAAGGCGACGACGGGUAGCCGGCCUGAGAGGGUGAACGGCCACACUGGGACUGAGACACGGCCCAGACUCCUACGGGAGGCAGCAGUAGGGAAUCUUGCGCAAUGGGCGAAAGCCUGACGCAGCGACGCCGCGUGGGGGAUGACGGCCUUCGGGUUGUAAACCUCUUUCGACCGGGACGAAGGGUAACUGACGGUACCGGUAGAAGAAGCACCGGCCAACUACGUGCCAGCAGCGGCGGUAAUUC